AUGCUCGUUUUGGCAACACAUAUACUAAAAUUGGAACGAUACGGAGAAGAUUAGCAUGGCCCCUGUGCAAGGAUGACAUGCAAAUUUGUGAAGCAUUCCAUAUUUUU
This 107-nucleotide small nuclear RNA is filed under the name Dipodomys ordii (Ord's kangaroo rat). Lineage: Eukaryota; Metazoa; Chordata; Mammalia; Rodentia; Heteromyidae. The record is from RNAcentral.